RNAcentral lists this ribosomal RNA (253 nucleotides) under uncultured bacterium. RNAcentral's name for it is "partial 16S ribosomal RNA". It matches the Rfam family "Bacterial small subunit ribosomal RNA", at positions 524 to 776 of the family's 1533-position model. The record is from RNAcentral.
UACAGAGGGGGCAAGCGUUGUUCGGAAUUACUGGGCGUAAAGGGCGCGUAGGCGGCCCGCUAAGUCGAACGUGAAAUCCCCGAGCUCAACUCGGGAACUGCGUCCGAUACUGGCGGGCUUGAAUCCGGGAGAGGGAUGCGGAAUUCCAGGUGUAGCGGUGAAAUGCGUAGAUAUCAAGAGGAACACCAGUGGCGAAGGCGAGUCCCUGGACAACACCUGACACUGAGGCACGAAAGCUAGGGGAGCAAACAGG